RNAcentral lists this ribosomal RNA (496 nucleotides) under uncultured bacterium. RNAcentral describes it as "partial 16S ribosomal RNA". It matches the Rfam family "Bacterial small subunit ribosomal RNA", at positions 28 to 506 of the family's 1533-position model. The record is from RNAcentral.
GAUGAACGCUGGCGGCGUGCCUAAUACAUGCAAGUCGAGCGAACAGACGAGGAGCUUGCUCCUCUGACGUUAGCGGCGGACGGGUGAGUAACACGUGGAUAACCUACCUAUAAGACUGGGAUAACUUCGGGAAACCGGAGCUAAUACCGGAUAAUUUAUUGAACCGCAUGGUUCAAUAGUGAAAGACGGUUUUGCUGUCACUUAUAGAUGGAUCCGCGCCGCAUUAGCUAGUUGGUAAGGUAACGGCUUACCAAGGCAACGAUGCGUAGCCGACCUGAGAGGGUGAUCGGCCACACUGGAACUGAGACACGGUCCAGACUCCUACGGGAGGCAGCAGUAGGGAAUCUUCCGCAAUGGGCGAAAGCUUGACGGAGCAACGCCGCGUGAGUGAUGAAGGUCUUCGGAUCGUAAAACUCUGUUAUUAGGGAAGAACAAAUGUGUAAGUAACUAUGCACGUCUUGACGGUACCGAAGCAGAAAGCCACGGCUAACUACGU